RNAcentral lists this ribosomal RNA (2921 nucleotides) under Staphylococcus aureus. Its description in RNAcentral is "bacterial LSU rRNA". It matches the Rfam family "Bacterial large subunit ribosomal RNA". Lineage: Bacteria; Bacillati; Bacillota; Bacilli; Caryophanales; Staphylococcaceae. RNAcentral also lists the same sequence under 1 other name. The record is from RNAcentral.
UUAAGUUAUUAAGGGCGCACGGUGGAUGCCUUGGCACUAGAAGCCGAUGAAGGACGUUACUAACGACGAUAUGCUUUGGGGAGCUGUAAGUAAGCUUUGAUCCAGAGAUUUCCGAAUGGGGAAACCCAACAUGAGUUAUGUCAUGUUAUCGAUAUGUGAAUACAUAGCAUAUCAGAAGGCACACCCGGAGAACUGAAACAUCUUAGUACCCGGAGGAAGAGAAAGAAAAUUCGAUUCCCUUAGUAGCGGCGAGCGAAACGGGAAGAGCCCAAACCAACAAGCUUGCUUGUUGGGGUUGUAGGACACUCUAUACGGAGUUACAAAGGACGACAUUAGACGAAUCAUCUGGAAAGAUGAAUCAAAGAAGGUAAUAAUCCUGUAGUCGAAAAUGUUGUCUCUCUUGAGUGGAUCCUGAGUACGACGGAGCACGUGAAAUUCCGUCGGAAUCUGGGAGGACCAUCUCCUAAGGCUAAAUACUCUCUAGUGACCGAUAGUGAACCAGUACCGUGAGGGAAAGGUGAAAAGCACCCCGGAAGGGGAGUGAAAUAGAACCUGAAACCGUGUGCUUACAAGUAGUCAGAGCCCGUUAAUGGGUGAUGGCGUGCCUUUUGUAGAAUGAACCGGCGAGUUACGAUUUGAUGCAAGGUUAAGCAGUAAAUGUGGAGCCGUAGCGAAAGCGAGUCUGAAUAGGGCGUUUAGUAUUUGGUCGUAGACCCGAAACCAGGUGAUCUACCCUUGGUCAGGUUGAAGUUCAGGUAACACUGAAUGGAGGACCGAACCGACUUACGUUGAAAAGUGAGCGGAUGAACUGAGGGUAGCGGAGAAAUUCCAAUCGAACCUGGAGAUAGCUGGUUCUCUCCGAAAUAGCUUUAGGGCUAGCCUCAAGUGAUGAUUAUUGGAGGUAGAGCACUGUUUGGACGAGGGGCCCCUCUCGGGUUACCGAAUUCAGACAAACUCCGAAUGCCAAUUAAUUUAACUUGGGAGUCAGAACAUGGGUGAUAAGGUCCGUGUUCGAAAGGGAAACAGCCCAGACCACCAGCUAAGGUCCCAAAAUAUAUGUUAAGUGGAAAAGGAUGUGGCGUUGCCCAGACAACUAGGAUGUUGGCUUAGAAGCAGCCAUCAUUUAAAGAGUGCGUAAUAGCUCACUAGUCGAGUGACACUGCGCCGAAAAUGUACCGGGGCUAAACAUAUUACCGAAGCUGUGGAUUGUCCUUUGGACAAUGGUAGGAGAGCGUUCUAAGGGCGUUGAAGCAUGAUCGUAAGGACAUGUGGAGCGCUUAGAAGUGAGAAUGCCGGUGUGAGUAGCGAAAGACGGGUGAGAAUCCCGUCCACCGAUUGACUAAGGUUUCCAGAGGAAGGCUCGUCCGCUCUGGGUUAGUCGGGUCCUAAGCUGAGGCCGACAGGCGUAGGCGAUGGAUAACAGGUUGAUAUUCCUGUACCACCUAUAAUCGUUUUAAUCGAUGGGGGGACGCAGUAGGAUAGGCGAAGCGUGCGAUUGGAUUGCACGUCUAAGCAGUAAGGCUGAGUAUUAGGCAAAUCCGGUACUCGUUAAGGCUGAGCUGUGAUGGGGAGAAGACAUUGUGUCUUCGAGUCGUUGAUUUCACACUGCCGAGAAAAGCCUCUAGAUAGAAAAUAGGUGCCCGUACCGCAAACCGACACAGGUAGUCAAGAUGAGAAUUCUAAGGUGAGCGAGCGAACUCUCGUUAAGGAACUCGGCAAAAUGACCCCGUAACUUCGGGAGAAGGGGUGCUCUUUAGGGUUAACGCCCAGAAGAGCCGCAGUGAAUAGGCCCAAGCGACUGUUUAUCAAAAACACAGGUCUCUGCUAAACCGUAAGGUGAUGUAUAGGGGCUGACGCCUGCCCGGUGCUGGAAGGUUAAGAGGAGUGGUUAGCUUCUGCGAAGCUACGAAUCGAAGCCCCAGUAAACGGCGGCCGUAACUAUAACGGUCCUAAGGUAGCGAAAUUCCUUGUCGGGUAAGUUCCGACCCGCACGAAAGGCGUAACGAUUUGGGCACUGUCUCAACGAGAGACUCGGUGAAAUCAUAGUACCUGUGAAGAUGCAGGUUACCCGCGACAGGACGGAAAGACCCCGUGGAGCUUUACUGUAGCCUGAUAUUGAAAUUCGGCACAGCUUGUACAGGAUAGGUAGGAGCCUUUGAAACGUGAGCGCUAGCUUACGUGGAGGCGCUGGUGGGAUACUACCCUAGCUGUGUUGGCUUUCUAACCCGCACCACUUAUCGUGGUGGGAGACAGUGUCAGGCGGGCAGUUUGACUGGGGCGGUCGCCUCCUAAAAGGUAACGGAGGCGCUCAAAGGUUCCCUCAGAAUGGUUGGAAAUCAUUCAUAGAGUGUAAAGGCAUAAGGGAGCUUGACUGCGAGACCUACAAGUCGAGCAGGGUCGAAAGACGGACUUAGUGAUCCGGUGGUUCCGCAUGGAAGGGCCAUCGCUCAACGGAUAAAAGCUACCCCGGGGAUAACAGGCUUAUCUCCCCCAAGAGUUCACAUCGACGGGGAGGUUUGGCACCUCGAUGUCGGCUCAUCGCAUCCUGGGGCUGUAGUCGGUCCCAAGGGUUGGGCUGUUCGCCCAUUAAAGCGGUACGCGAGCUGGGUUCAGAACGUCGUGAGACAGUUCGGUCCCUAUCCGUCGUGGGCGUAGGAAAUUUGAGAGGAGCUGUCCUUAGUACGAGAGGACCGGGAUGGACAUACCUCUGGUGUACCAGUUGUCGUGCCAACGGCAUAGCUGGGUAGCUAUGUGUGGACGGGAUAAGUGCUGAAAGCAUCUAAGCAUGAAGCCCCCCUCAAGAUGAGAUUUCCCAACUUCGGUUAUAAGAUCCCUCAAAGAUGAUGAGGUUAAUAGGUUCGAGGUGGAAGCAUGGUGACAUGUGGAGCUGACGAAUACUAAUCGAUCGAAGACUUAAUCAA